RNAcentral lists this long non-coding RNA (891 nucleotides) under Phoenix dactylifera (date palm). Its description in RNAcentral is "long non-coding RNA (PDAC_LNC010637)". Lineage: Eukaryota; Viridiplantae; Streptophyta; Magnoliopsida; Arecales; Arecaceae. The record is from RNAcentral.
CCAAGCUUCAUCUUCCGUUGCAACAGGGCCCUUUUGCUAUUGGUGUGGAAGGAUAAUUGACCCAAUGACAUAGAGUACUUUAAGGACCUACAAAGAAACAAGGAUUAGAACUUUGGCGUGAGAGGAGAAUGGAAAUCACAAAAGAAAAGGGAGGCGAGAGGAGGUAGGGCAGCGGUGGAUGUGGUAGUGGCUUUAGGGCCUCACGCCCAACUUGGAACAAGGGCCUCACGCCCAACCUUCUCUCAAGGUGACAAAGCAAAAUUGCUAAGGAAGAAAGAAACUCUUUUUAUUCAUUCAUCAACUGGAAUUACAAGAUAUCAUGAGGAGGUAUUUAUAGACUUUCCUCAUGAUUUGAAAUUUAAACACAUAAUGAAUGGCGCUCCACAUUUGAAGGCUUGGUUGCUAGAGAAAAGGAAAGAAAGUUGGCCAGCUUUAAGGGGGAGGAUUUGAAAAGUUGUUGGCUCCCAUUUGAAAUUUUCUUGCAUUUAAAUUGUGGCCGACCUCUUGGACUUUGAAAUUGGGUGACGUGUCAACUUGUAUUAGGUGGCAUGGUGAUUGGUUCUUCUGAUGAGGUGGCAUGACGUUGCAUUGGUUUCUUUGAUGAGAUGAUGUGGCCGGCUCCUUAUGCUUGACUUCAUCCUGGUUGGCGUGCUUCCAUUGGUUGGAGUGGUGGUGAGGUGGCCAGCUGAUGUUGAUGUGGAUGCCGAGGUGGUGCUCCAAGGGUGUGCAAAGGUGGUGGUAGAAACAUGCAACAUGUCCUGACUUGGCUUGCUUUCUGACUUAUUGAGACUUGCUUUCUGACUUAUUGAAUUUAUUUAUAGGACUCGAUCAAAGCCACAGUAACCUUGAGUUAAUUGAUUGGAGUCUUUUCUGGAUUCUGGUGCCCGCACC